This 83-nucleotide transfer RNA is filed under the name Wigglesworthia glossinidia. RNAcentral describes it as "tRNA-Leu". It matches the Rfam family "tRNA". Rfam says of the family: Transfer RNA (tRNA) molecules are approximately 80 nucleotides in length. The record is from RNAcentral. Lineage: Bacteria; Pseudomonadati; Pseudomonadota; Gammaproteobacteria; Enterobacterales; Erwiniaceae.
GCCGAGAUGGUGAAACCGGUAGACACGUUACUUUGAGGGGGUAAUGCUGUAUAAGCGUGCGGGUUCGAAUCCCGCUCUCGGCA